UAAGGAAUAUUGCGCAAUGGGCGACAGCCUGACGCAGCGACGCCGCGUGGGGGACGAAGGUCUUCGGAUUGUAAACCCCUUUCGGGAGGGAAGAUGGAACGGGUAACCGUUCGGACGGUACCUCCAGAAGCAGCCACGGCUAACUUCGUGCCAGCAGCCGCGGUAAUACGAAGGUGGCAAGCGUUGUUCGGAUUUACUGGGCGUACAGGGAGCGUAGGUGGUUCGGUAAGCCCUUUGUGAAAUCUCCAGGCUUAACCUGGAACAGUCGGAGGGGACUGCCGAGCUAGAGGAUGGGAGAGGAGCGCGGAAUUCCCGGUGUAGCGGUGAAAUGCGUAGAGAUCGGGAGGAAGGCCGGUGGCGAAGGCGGCGCUCUGGAACAUUUCUGACGCUGAGGCUCGAAAGCGUGGGGAGCAAACAGGAUUAGAUACCCUGGUAGUCCACGCCUUAAACGAUGGAUACUAAGUGACGGCGGGUUACCGCCGGUGCCGCAGCUAACGCAGUAAGUAUCCCGCCUGGGAAGUACGGCCGCAAGGUUGA
Molecule: ribosomal RNA, 537 nt
Filed under: uncultured Nitrospira sp.
Lineage: Bacteria; Pseudomonadati; Nitrospirota; Nitrospiria; Nitrospirales; Nitrospiraceae
Description: bacterial SSU rRNA
Rfam family: Bacterial small subunit ribosomal RNA
Source: RNAcentral